UCUGAGUCACUGGCUGCAUUAGAUAAAUAGACUGUUGCUUAAAUUCUUCAUUGCUCUUACAGAAUUUUUUACAGUCCUUAAGAACUACCUUCAGGUAGAAGUUAGUUUCACCCUUAAGGGAGGGACUGUUUGCAAGCUGUGAAGGCUUGGGUUACUUGGUGGGUUUUGUCUUUUUCCUCUCACAAAUGUUUAUGGCCCUUAAAAAAAAAAUCCACGUCAGAGUGGUAGGUGCCUGUCACAGAGGUACUCUGCGUGACUGUAUAAUUCCGAAUUGUAAAGCUACCUAAUGCAGUCUCGCCUUGAAAGUUGAGGGUCCUGAACGAUUUUUUGGCUUGCUCUUGCCAAGUCCAUAAAAGAACUUCCUCAAACUAGAUGUUACAGACAUUUAUUAUCGUGCAUUUGUGGGCUUCCUCUAACUCCCCUCAGCCUCCAGGACCUAGAGCUUGCUUCCAAGGAUCAUUGUCAGGUAUUGAGGAAUUCUGCAGACUAAAAGUUUCUACCCACUGAACUUUGCCUUUUUCUGAUCUACCUGCACUGUUUCUGAUUCAGAAAACUUUAGCCAGUAACUUCUUCAAGUUACACCCAGCGUGGACACGUCUCAGUUUUCCAGAGCUCCCCUUCUCCAGAGGCUUGAAGGUAUUGAGGAAUUCUGCAGACUAAAAGUUUCUACCCACUGAACUUUGCCUUUUUCUGAUCUACCUGCACUGUUUCUGAUUCAGAAAACUUUAGCCAGUAACUUCUUCAAGUUACACCCAGCGUGGACACUUCUCAGUUUUCCAGAGCUCCCCUUCUCCAGAGGCUUGAAGGUCACUUCUGAGUCACUGGCUGCAUUAGAUAAAUAGACUGUUGCUUAAAUUCUUCAUUGCUCUUACAGAAUUUUUUACAGUCCUUAAGAACUACCUUCAGGUAGAAGUUAGUUUCACCCUUAAGGGAGGGACUGUUUGCAAGCUGUGAAGGCUUGGGUUACUUGGUGGGUUUUGUCUUUUUCCUCUCACAAAUGUUUAUGGCCCUUAAAAAAAAAUCCACGUCAGAGUGGUAGGUGCCUGUCACAGAGGUACUCUGCGUGACUGUAUAAUUCCGAAUUGUAAAGCUACCUAAUGCAGUCUCGCCUUGAAAGUUGAGGGUCCUGAACGAUUUUUUGGCUUGCUCUUGCCAAGUCCACAAAAGAACUUCCUCAAACUAGAUGUUACAGACAUUUAUUAUCGUGCAUUUGUGGGCUUCCUCUAACUCCCCUCAGCCUCCAGGAUCUAGAGCUUGCUUCCAAGGAUCAUUGUCAGGUAUUGAGGAAUUCUGCAGACUAAAAGUUUCUACCCACUGAACUUUGCCUUUUUCUGAUCUACCUGCACUGUUUCUGAUUCAGAAAACUUUAGCCAGUAACUUCUUCAAGUUACACCCAGCGUGGACACUUCUCAGUUUUCCAGAGCCCCCCUUCUCCAGAGGCUUGAAGGUAUUGAGGAAUUCUGGAGACUAUAAGUUUCUAUCUGCUGAACUUUACUUUCUUCUGAUCUACCUGCACUGUUUCUGAUUCAGAAAACUUUAGCCAGUAACUUCUUCAAGUUACACCCAGCGUGGACACUUCUCAGUUUUCCAGAGCCCCCCUUCUCCAGAGGCUUGAAGGUCUACCUGCACUGUUUCUGAUUCAGAAAACUUUAGCCAGUAACUUCUUCAAGUUACACCCAGCAUGGAUACUUCUCAGUUUUCCAGAGCUCCCCUUCUCCAGAGGCUUGAAGGUCACUUCUGAGUCACUGGCUGCAUUAGAUAAAUAGACUGUUGCUUAAAUUCUUCAUUGCUCUUACAGAAUUUUUUACAGUCCUUGAGAACUACCUUCAGGUAGAAGUUAGUUUCACCCUUAAGGGAGGGACUGUUUGCAAGCUGUGAAGGCUUGGGUUACUUGGUGGGUUUUGUCUUUUUCCUCUCACAGAUGUUUAUGGCCCUUAAAAAAAAAUCCACGUCAGAGUGGUAGGUUACAAACGUUAUUGUUACAAAUGUACUCUGCGUGACUUUAGAAUUCUGAAUUAUAAAACUACUUAAUGGAAUCUCCCCUUGAAAGUUGGGGAUUGCGAACAAUUUUUUGGCUUACUCUUGCCAAGCAAUAAACAAACUAUGUAUGUUCAA
RNA transcript from Antechinus flavipes (yellow-footed antechinus), 2115 nucleotides. It is a transcript of the gene named U1 small nuclear ribonucleoprotein C, with no coding region annotated. The transcript has 10 exons. NCBI's taxonomy places the organism in Eukaryota, Metazoa, Chordata, Mammalia, Dasyuromorphia, Dasyuridae. The record is from RefSeq and is a predicted model, not a curated record.